AGAGUUUGAUCCUGGCUCAGAGUGAACGCUGGCGGCAGGCCUAACACAUGCAAGUCGAACGGCAGCACAGCAGUAGCAAUACUGUGGGUGGCGGGCGGCGGACGGGUGAGGAAUGCGUCGGAAUCUGCCUUUUUGUGGGGGAUAACGUAGGGAAACUUACGCUAAUACCGCAUACGACCUACGGGUGAAAGUGGGGGACCUUCGGGCCUCACGCAGAAAGAUGAGCCGACGCCGGAUUAGCUAGUUGGCGGGGUAAAGGCCCACCAAGGCGACGAUCCGUAGCUGGUCUGAGAGGAUGAUCAGCCACACUGGGACUGAGACACGGCCCAGACUCCUACGGGAGGCAGCAGUGGGGAAUAUUGGACAAUGGGCGCAAGCCUGAUCCAGCCAUGCCGCGUGUGUGAAGAAGGCCUUCGGGUUGUAAAGCACUUUUGUCCGGAAAGAAAAGCUUCGGGUUAAUAACCUGGAGUCAUGACGGUACCGGA
Molecule: ribosomal RNA, 485 nt
Filed under: uncultured bacterium
Lineage: Bacteria
Description: bacterial SSU rRNA
Rfam family: Bacterial small subunit ribosomal RNA
Source: RNAcentral